Molecule: unclassified non-coding RNA, 325 nt
Filed under: uncultured Bordetella sp.
Lineage: Bacteria; Pseudomonadati; Pseudomonadota; Betaproteobacteria; Burkholderiales; Alcaligenaceae
Description: partial 16S-23S ribosomal RNA intergenic spacer
Rfam family: Bacterial small subunit ribosomal RNA
Source: RNAcentral
AGUUUGAUCAUGGCUCAGAUUGAACGCUGGCGGGAUGCUUUACACAUGCAAGUCGAACGGCAGCACGGACUUCCGGUCUGGUGGCGAGUGGCGAACGGGUGAGUAAUGUAUCCGGAACGUGCCUAGUAGCGGGGGAUAACUACGCGAAAGCGUAGCUAAUACCGCAUACGCCCUUCGGGGAAAGCGGGGGACCUUCGGGCCUCGCACUAUUAGAGCGGCGAUAUCGGAUUAGCUAGUUGGUGGGGUAACGGCUCACCAAGGCGACGAUCCGUAGCUGGUUUGAGAGGACGACCAGCCACACUGGGACUGAGACACGGCCCGAACU